UGGGGAAUUUUGCACAAUGGGGGAAACCCUGAUGCAGCGACGCCGCGUGAUUUAGAAGGCCUUCGGGUUGUAAAAAUCUUUUCUAUGGGAAGAAAAUGACAGUACCAUAGGAAUAAGGACCGGCUAAUUACGUGCCAGCAGCCGCGGUAAUACGUAAGGUCCGAGCGUUGUCCGGAAUCAUUGGGCGUAAAGGGUACGUAGGCGGGUAAGCAAGUUAGAAGUGAAAUCCUAUAGCUCAACUAUAGUAAGCUUUUAAAACUGCUCAUCUUGGGGUAUGGAAGGGCAAGUGGAAUUCCUAGUGUAGCGGUGAAAUGCGCAGAUAUUAGGAGGAAUACCGGUGGCGAAGGCGACUUUCUGGCCAUAACCUGACGCUGAGGUACGAAAGCGUGGGUAGCAAACAGG
Molecule: ribosomal RNA, 402 nt
Filed under: bacterium
Lineage: Bacteria
Description: partial 16S ribosomal RNA
Rfam family: Bacterial small subunit ribosomal RNA
Source: RNAcentral